This is a non-coding RNA of Psilocybe cubensis, 100 nucleotides long. The record is from the annotation of a RefSeq genome assembly. Lineage: Eukaryota; Fungi; Basidiomycota; Agaricomycetes; Agaricales; Agrocybaceae.
GUCACUUUGCCGGAGUGGUUAACGGGAUCGCCUGCUAUACUUCGGUAUACUGGUUAGCGGUUGGGCUUUGCCCGCGAGUGUUCGAAUCGCUCAGGUGACG